UAUUGUAUCACGGGACACGCAUGGCUACACUCUGGUCUUAGAGCGUUGGUGCGGACUUUCGCUCGGUGCUCUAUGCACCUGUUUCUCCCGCCUGCUCAAACUUCUUUCCUAUUUAUGAAGAGGGGGGCGUCCCCAUCUCCCGGAAGCAAGGAGAUGCGAGAGGACGGCGCCAGUUUAGGUGCAGCUAAAGAACCAGAGAAGUUGGUAGGGAAAUGGAAAGACAAAAGUUCUGAUGAUUUGCCCUUAAUUUCACCAAGUUAAGUCAACUUCAAGAGUCCUCUUGUCAGAAAGUCUAACACGGAUCGGUGGGGUCUUGCUCCAUGCAUUUACUCAAGGAACCUGGCUUCUUCUGCCUAGUGCUCUACCACCUUCAAGGCAGAAAAACCUUCUCUCUUAUGCGAUGACCUACAACAAGUUGAUAAAGUAUGCCUUUGUAAACAAAGACGAAACAUUUAUCUUUUUCUCUCUACCUGAUCCUGCCAGAAUUUGUUGUCUCCAGCUGGCUCUCCUGUGGAUUUGAUAUUUAUGUCAAUCAUUGUUUUAAUUUGUGCUUUAUUUCCAAAUUGUUUGUGCUUUGUGUCUCCCUGCUGCACUAUGUCAAUGUUACUAGGUGCAUUACUUAUAUCCUGUUUUAUAAAAUUGUUGCCUCUUGCAGUACCCAGUGUGUAACCAGGCCUCCAACAAAACUCCUGUGGCUAAACAUCUUAAGGAAAUAGAUCACUUUUAUAACAUACAAUAAUUGUAAUAAUAUGAUCUAGGUAUGGGAAGAAGCAGCAAAGGAAAAUGUCUCCUGGAUCAUAAUUAGAAGAUCCAGAGAACCUUUAAUUAUCAAUAGGGCCUAAUCCAAAAAAUAGCACCUGGAGUGGCACAUCAAGAAUCUUUGCCUGACCUGGGAUGAGCCUUCCAGCACCGUGGGACAAAAUUUGAUCGUGAAACGUCUCCCAAAUAUUGGUUAGAUUCCUGACCAGGAGGAGAAGAUCAGUCAUCUGCAAUUGCAGCCCUCCAACGUGAGCUAAUAAACCCUGAGGAAAUUCAGGAAGGUGAAGAAUACCUGCCAUCUAGCAGCCAUCAGACUGCAGCCACUCCCUGUGGUGAGCCCUGAGGACACUCAGGAUGUGAAAAUACAGGAUACAGGCCCCAG
This is a long non-coding RNA of Balaenoptera musculus (blue whale), 1141 nucleotides long. RefSeq lists it as uncharacterized. The transcript is spliced from 4 exons. The record is from RefSeq and is a predicted model, not a curated record. Lineage: Eukaryota; Metazoa; Chordata; Mammalia; Artiodactyla; Balaenopteridae.